ACUCUCUCAGCUCUACAUAAACAAGUGACACUUGUUUGCACAGGUGAUUGGGAGAUAAAGGAUCUCCUCGGGACCUCAGGUUGGCCUCACAGUGGCUAGUCUUUCCUAAAAGGGUGCAAUAGGG
Molecule: small nucleolar RNA, 124 nt
Organism: Artibeus jamaicensis (Jamaican fruit-eating bat)
Lineage: Eukaryota; Metazoa; Chordata; Mammalia; Chiroptera; Phyllostomidae
Product: small nucleolar RNA SNORA64/SNORA10 family
Exons: 1
Source: RefSeq, a predicted model, not a curated record